Molecule: ribosomal RNA, 541 nt
Filed under: uncultured bacterium
Lineage: Bacteria
Description: partial 16S ribosomal RNA
Rfam family: Bacterial small subunit ribosomal RNA
Source: RNAcentral
UGGGGAAUAUUGCACAAUGGGCGAAAGCCUGAUGCAGCAACGCCGCGUGAGGGACGACGGCCUUCGGGUUGUAAACCUCUUUUAGCAAGGAAGAAGCGAAAGUGACGGUACUUGCAGAAAAAGCGCCGGCUAACUACGUGCCAGCAGCCGCGGUAAUACGUAGGGCGCAAGCGUUAUCCGGAAUUAUUGGGCGUAAAGAGCUCGUAGGCGGUUUGUCGCGUCUGCUGUGAAAACCCGAGGCUCAACCUCGGGCCUGCAGUGGGUACGGGCAGACUAGAGUGCGGUAGGGGAGAUUGGAACUCCUGGUGUAGCGGUGGAAUGCGCAGAUAUCAGGAAGAACACCGAUGGCGAAGGCAGAUCUCUGGGCCGUAACUGACGCUGAGGAGCGAAAGGGUGGGGAGCAAACAGGCUUAGAUACCCUGGUAGUCCACCCCGUAACGUUGGGAACUAGUUGUGGGUCCAUUCCACGGAUUCCGUGACGCAGCUAACGCAUUAAGUUCCCCGCCUGGGGAGUACGGCCGCAAGGCUAAAACUUGAAAUG